This 211-nucleotide ribosomal RNA is filed under the name uncultured Staphylococcus sp. RNAcentral describes it as "partial 16S ribosomal RNA". It matches the Rfam family "Bacterial small subunit ribosomal RNA", at positions 150 to 354 of the family's 1533-position model. The record is from RNAcentral. Lineage: Bacteria; Bacillati; Bacillota; Bacilli; Caryophanales; Staphylococcaceae.
CGGGAAACCGGAGCUAAUACCGGAUAAUAUAUUGAACCGCAUGGUUCAAUAGUGAAAGACGGUUUUGCUGUCACUUAUAGAUGGAUCCGCGCCGCAUUAGCUAGUUGGUAAGGUAACGGCUUACCAAGGCAGCGAUGCGUAGCCGACCUGAGAGGGUGAUCGGCCACACUGGAACUGAGACACGGUCCAGACUCCUACGGGAGGCAGCAGG